CGCCUCCUGCAAUAUAGAUAAGUAUAGGAGGUCCAACCUGCCCAGUGACCACAAGUUUAACGGCCGCGGUAUUUUGACCGUGCAAAGGUAGCGCAAUCACUUGUCUUUUAAAUAAAGACCCGUAUGAAUGGUUAAACGAGGGCUUAACUGUCUCCCAUUUCCAGUCAGUGAAAUUGAUCUACCCGUGCAGAAGCGGGUAUAAAUAUACAAGACGAGAAGACCCUUUGGAGCUUAAGGUACAAAACUCAACCACGUCAAUCAACUCAAUAAAAAGCAACUUUUUACUUAAACCUUAUGACAAAUGAGACUAUACCUUCGGUUGGGGCGACCAAGGAGGAAAGGAAAGCCUCCAAGUGGACUGGGUCAACACCCUAAAACUAAGAGAGACAUCUCUAAGCCACAGAACAUCUGACCAUAAAUGAUCCGGUCAAUUAAGACCGAUCAACGAACCAAGUUACCCUAGGGAUAACAGCGCAAUCCCCUCCCAGAGUCCAUAUCGACGAGGGGGUUUACGACCUCGAUGUUGGAUCAGGACAUCCUAAUGGUGCAGCCGCUAUUAAGGGUUCGUUUGUUCAACGAUUAAAGUCCUACGUGAUCUGAGUU
This 603-nucleotide ribosomal RNA is filed under the name Puntius sp. FB-12. RNAcentral describes it as "partial 16S ribosomal RNA". It matches the Rfam family "Bacterial large subunit ribosomal RNA", at positions 1816 to 2611 of the family's 2925-position model. Lineage: Eukaryota; Metazoa; Chordata; Actinopteri; Cypriniformes; Cyprinidae. The record is from RNAcentral. RNAcentral also lists the same sequence under 1 other name.